RNAcentral lists this ribosomal RNA (404 nucleotides) under Leptodactylus fuscus (rufous frog). Its description in RNAcentral is "partial 12S ribosomal RNA". It matches the Rfam family "Bacterial small subunit ribosomal RNA", at positions 766 to 1381 of the family's 1533-position model. The record is from RNAcentral. Lineage: Eukaryota; Metazoa; Chordata; Amphibia; Anura; Leptodactylidae.
AACAAACUGGGAUUAGAUACCCCACUAUGCCUAACCGUAAACUUUAAUUUACACCCCCCUAUCGCCUGGGAACUACGAGCCAAGCUUAAAACCCAAAGGACUUGACGGUACCCCAAAUCCACCUAGAGGAGCCUGUCCUAUAAUCGAUAACCCCCGUUUAACCUCACCAUUUCUUGUCUAUCAGCCUGUAUACCUCCGUCGCCAGCUUACCGCAUGAGCGUUUUAAGUGAGCCCAAUGCCCAUACGCCAACACGUCAGGUCAAGGUGCAGCUAAUGAAGUGGGAAGAGAUGGGCUACACUUUCUAUUCUAGAAAAAACGAAAGACUACCUAUGAAACCUAGUCAGAAGGAGGAUUUAGUAGUAAAAAGAAAUCAGAGCGUUCUUUUUAAUCUGGCACUGGGGUG